This 497-nucleotide ribosomal RNA is filed under the name uncultured bacterium. RNAcentral's name for it is "partial 16S ribosomal RNA". It matches the Rfam family "Bacterial small subunit ribosomal RNA", at positions 28 to 507 of the family's 1533-position model. The record is from RNAcentral.
GAUGAACGCUGGCGGCGUGCCUAAUACAUGCAAGUCUAGCGAACGUACUAGAAGCUUGCUUUUCUGAUGUUAGCGGCGGACGGGUGAUUAACACGUGGAUAACCUACCUAUAAGACUGGGAUAACUUCGGGAAACCGGAGCUAUUACCUGAUAAUAUUUUGAACCGCAUGGUUCAAAAGUGAAAGACGGUCUUGCUGUCACUUAUCGAUGGAUCCGCGCUGCAUUAGCUAGUUGGUAAGGUAACGGCUUACCAAGGCAACGAUGCAUAGCCGACCUGAGAGGGGGAUCGGCCACACGGGAACUGAGACACGGUCCAGACUCCUACGGGAGGCAGCAGCAGGGAAUCUGGAGCAAUGGGCGAAGACCUGAAGGAGCAACGCCGCGUGAGUGAUGAAGGUCCUCGGAUCGUAAAACACUGUUAUUAGGGAAGAACAUAGGUGUAAGUAACUGUGCACAUCUUGACGGUACCUAAUCAGAAAGCCACGGAUAACUACGUG